RNAcentral lists this ribosomal RNA (255 nucleotides) under uncultured bacterium. Its description in RNAcentral is "partial 16S ribosomal RNA". It matches the Rfam family "Bacterial small subunit ribosomal RNA", at positions 524 to 776 of the family's 1533-position model. The record is from RNAcentral.
UACGUAGGGUGCGAGCGUUUGUCCGGAAUUAUUGGGCGUAAAGAGCUCGUAGGCGGUCUGUCGCGUCGAUCGUGAAAACUUGGGGCUUAACCCUGAGCUUGCGGUCGAUACGGGCAUGACUGGAGUUCGGUAGGGGAGACUGGAAUUCCUGGUGUAGCGGUGAAAUGCGCAGAUAUCAGGAGGAACACCGGUGGCGAAGGCGGGUCUCUGGGCCGAUACUGACGCUGAGGAGCGAAAGCGUGGGGAGCGAACAGG